CGCUGUUUCUGAGCCCCCUUCCGCCCCUGCCCGCCCUAGUGCCGCGCCUGACGCUGCGGCUCAGCUGCCCGCCGCUCCCUCACUGUCGGGCACGGGGGUGGAGAGGGGGAUCGCUGCCGCUGUGGUGCGGCGCUGCUCCGCUCUUGCCCCAACACCGGGGGCGGCUGGCUGGCCAGGGGUUGGGGUCACCACCCUCUGCUGCACCGCAGAAACCCGAAAGGCAGGAGAGGCCCGCGGCUGCGUGGGAGGACGGCCGAGAUUGCUCGUGGAGGCGGUGGGAUAGCGGUGACACGUCCUCGCCGGGGCUGGCUGCACCACUUGCGCGACGCGACACGGCCGGUGUGGCUGCAGCCCUCCGUCCAUCCGUUCGCCCGUCCAUCCCCGCCGGCCGCCGCGGGGGACGGGCGGGGGACAGCGCUGCCGCUCCGCGCCGGGAGCCUCCGACGCGCCGGGCUGCAUCGCGCAGGCUUGUAGAGGAAAUAAUAAAGAUAUUAUUGUUAUGCUGUGACAGCCGGUCUAGCUGGAGCUGUGCGACACAGAGCCGCGUUUCUUACCUAAGUAUUUCGUAGAGAAAUCAAAGAUGUUUUGCUGCGGUGAAGGUUAUUUCUGCGUACAAAUCUGAAAUUAUUCAGGUGGAAGCUUAAAACGUUUUAAGAUGUGGGGGAAGGGGGAGGCAGGGCUCGGGGGAUUGUCUGCGCACCAGAAAAGCAUGCUAUUUAUUGACUCGUUGAAUUGCCUUUGAAGAAAUUUUUCAAACCGCUGUAACCGUGGAGGCAGUGGUCAGCACUGGAGCAUCAACUCUGUACAAAAUUUAGGCACAUGUGUUUAUUGCGUUACACCACGCUCUGUGCUAAAUUCAUAUUGCUACGUGUGUGUGCAGCGUGGCUGCUGACUCGAUUCCUCCUAAUGCGUGAGCUGAAAACCUGGCUGUUUGUGGACGAAAUCCAAUUUCCAUUCUGAGCUCCCUGGGAGAUAGCCUUAGUUUUAGUAAUCACUUACCAUUAAUACUGCCCCAAACAAUUUUUAGUACUUAAAAUGCAGAUUUCGUGUAAAAUAUAUCGUAUAGCUCAUCACCUCUGCUUAAAAAUUACAAGACAGGUAUGUAAUUCAUUAUAGGAUAUUAAACUGUGCACAUGUUAACAUCUUAACAGGCUCCUGCCCAAAUGCAUUCACAAAUUAAGAACUCAAUCAAGCACGGUACAUGGGAAACUUUCAAUGAAUUCUUUGGGAAUUGUGUCCCAGGAAUGUGAUAUCCAGCUUCCUCACCAGCAGAUGAAAUAGAUGCAGCUGAUUCAGUAACAAUUUGAUAACAUAUAUGGUCAGAAAAAUGAUUGUAUAAAUAGGGAACCUUCUUACUCAUCAGGUACCCUUUGUAUCUAAGAUACUCUGACUCAUAAUUGCUUAGUUUACUGACUGAAAUAAAAUUUUAGGCUUCUGUUACCUUGACAGUUGCUGACACAAUUACGGUACAGCAAACUGGGGACUGGUUCUAGCUCUUGCAUUUUCUUUACUAAGUUCCAGGUGAAAAAUUUUAUUAGUUUUUGAGUCAGAAAGAGCACCGCACGACUUGUAAAUCUCAGGUCCAGUUUGUAGGGUCAUCAGUCCUAAAAGGCCUCUUUUUAUUUGUGAACUAAGCAAAUGACUUACAGAAAAUUUUGAAGGCAAAAAUAAAAACCACGAUGUUUGAAUUAAGCCGUCUUGAGUCAAUUUCCGCAGUGGAACUGGAUAAAUUAUAACACUGCUCUCUUUAUGUCACUGAAUAUGUCCCAUUCAUUUGAAGCAACAUUGAAUCAAAUAAUUCUCUGAUUUUUAGACCACAUCUGUUUUACUGUGCCCCCUGCACCAAUUUUAAUUAUGUGACAGAUCUGAUUGGAUUCAGCACCUGCAAGUCCUCCCUUUGGGAUCUCCAAUUAGCUUAUAAAACGUUUACUUGAUUGCAUUCUUCAAACAAAAGUAUUGUUUCAUGCUAACAGCAGGAAUAUUAAAGUGUAGAAUGAAAAAGGUUUUAACAUGAUAAGCAGCGUGUAUGUUGUUUGUGUAUCUAGCUUCCAUAAGCUUAGAGGAAAAAAUAGUAAUCCUGAAACCUAAUUUCCUCAGACUCAGCAGAUGUCUGUCCUGCCUUAGCCUGUUUCUUUACUAACAGCUGUUUCACAAGUGCCUCCCCUAGUCUCUACAGAAUGCCUUUUGUUUAAUAUUUCCCCUCUACUUUAUCUCCCAUCCCACUUAGACAAGAUUUUUUAAGUUUUUUGGUACUUUAUGUAGGUAUUUUGUAGUUUAAUAGACAGGCUCAUCUUUGAAGAAGUUUGCUAAAACUAUAUAACUAGCCUCUCAGCUAGCGUCUCAGUAACAGUUCUACUUAACUAGGCAAAUAGCUGCAUGUAACAAACAUUUCAACAAAUAUUGAUUUAAUAUUAAGAAAACUAUUAGUUAUUAGAGAUAUGCUUCAGAAUACACUUUUUUCUCCUUAUUUGACUGCUUGGAGCAGUGAUACUGGAGGUCUAGGGGGGAAUAUCACACAAAGUGCAGCCCUCUAGUGGCAGAGGUCACGGGGAGUUUAAAGCAAACUGGGUCUUUGUUAUGGGUGGGGGCAAUGAAAGAAACAGCUUUUAGCAAAAUGCAGGCAACUGUCCUGCAUCGUUCAUGGUCUGAAGCACAAGCAAAAAGAGUUGUGGAGGCCUGUAAUGCAACCUUGCCCCCACUCUGUUGUAAUAUCUACGCAGAAAGUACCGAUGGAAAAUAUUAAAAGGUCUGAGUUUUCCUCUAUUUCCAAAUCUGUAAUCUGUUGUUCAUCUUUUCUGUUUCCAGCCAGCAGAUUGGCAUACCUGACCAGAUGCUUUUCAAGCAGCUGUGGGGUCUUGAUUCCUUCAAUCAUGUCCUACCAGACGAGGUAUUCUAUAACUUCAGUAAGAGUAUGUUCAGUGAUGACAUGGAGUACAAAUUCAAUUUAACAGCUUUAUUUCUAAAAUCACUCUCGAUUGGUGGAGGUGUGGAUGGUAGCAUUCAAAUUAAUCUCCCCCACGGACAUAAGAGUUAUGCUUAGAAAUAAAAGGGAUUAGGAAGAAGGAUAAACUAAAGCAAUUAAGCAUAUAUAUUAACAAAUAGAAAUCUGCAUAAUAAUUGAGGUGGAGUUCUAGUAAUCUGAUAAGGUCCACUUUGUGGAACAAGACCCAAUCUCCUGUUUCUUAUGGAGGUGAUGUAUAGUUCUCCUCCGGCUAACAGAAUGAACACUUCAAUUUUCCCCUUAUAUAACAAAGCCCAAUAAUCAUUUGAUAAAAAUGAUACCUCUUAAACAUCCUGGCUAGGUAAAAGAAAACAGAUUCUGUCUUUGUCCAAAAUGGUGCUACUACAAUUGCCAGUUUUUCAUUACUGAAUGAUUGCUGUGAUUCCUAGUAAACUUUGGCUUCACUAAAAUUACAGUUAGUGACGAAAUCUUUCAAGUUUUUAAUUUCCAUCUCGUGUUUAUGAAAUUUCUUUCCUCUGACAAUCUAUCAAUUAAACUGGUAUUGUCAUUGAGUUAGCUGUCUAAUUGUUGCUUGUUUAAAUACUGCAGAAUUUGUUCACCAGUAAAUGUUUUAAUUUUCAGUGGAACUUCUCCAAGAUUCCAGCAAUAUUAAUCUAAGGAAAAUCAAAUCCAGUGUUUGGGAAAAAAGCUAAACACAUAUUAGGCAGAAAGUGACCUGAUUAUCUAUUUCCCCCCAUUUGUAUUACUUUUAUUAUCUAUAUUAUAUGCAUUACCUAGCUGAAAGCCAAGUGUUAAUAGUUGUACUCUUCACUGAAAAGAGCAUAGACAACUGCUAAACCUCUUCAUAUUGUAGACCAUUGCUGUGUAGUAGCUUUCUUUUUCCAGGAAACUGAGGAUGACUAUUUAAAAUCAGUAAUAAUUUGACCACACUAUUUGUCAUAACAUGAAUAUGUUGGCCAAAAUUCUUUUUCUGGUGAUUGAAGGCGAAAGUGUUUGUAGGAAAUCAGCACCCAUUUCUGCUCUCUCAGCAGAGGGAUCACCUGUCUCCUUCUAUUCCCACAAAGUUCAUUAAAAUUUACAGUACUUUUUUGACUUUUCUUCAUGAAUACUGAACUGAAUUGAUCCCAGUGCUUCAUUGCUGAAUCUGUAGGUCAGAUUUACAAGGGGUUACCUAAGGAUGUAUCCAGAUCUCAAUGUAAAAAAACAAGUUAGCCUCAGAACAGGAUAAUUUUUCAUCCCUCACAGGGAAUCGAAUGUGUGGAUCUGGAUAUCUGAAACUCCAGUGGCUGAACACUUACCCCAAAAAGUCAUCUCCAUGGUGAUCUUUCUGCACAGUAAUCUAAAGACCUUUUCUUUCUCAGAAUGAAAGAAAAUGAAGACUUGAUUUCAAUUGCCUUCCAAAAAUAGUAGUAUCUUCUGUUUUCUUUGGGUCAUUGCUUUUGUUUGUUUUGCUUUUUCUCCUUUUUUGGGGGGAGGAUUUUUUGGAGUUUGUGUGUGUGUAUGCGUGUGUGUGUAUUAUUUUGUUUUUACUAGAAAAAUAGAUAUUCAAGGUUUAAAAUGGGUACAGUCUAGGCGUAAAUUCACUGUAAUGAAACAAUGUAACAUCAAUAUAGAAGCAUCUCCUUGUGUAGCUUCAUCAGUUUACAGUGUUACUGAUUGUGUACCUCUUGUCACUAUCUUACAAAAGGACAGUUACAAUUGGUAAAGCAUCUCUUCUACAAAUUGAAUGUCACUCCAGAUGCUUCUGACUGUAUUCCUUUAACAGAUCAGGUAUUUUUCAAGGAAUCAGCAUACCUGUUUCCAAUCACUGUUAUUAUAAUUGCUCUAAUAAUAUUACUAUUUUAUAUAUCAUUUUGCCCACUCACCACCAAGUGUCUUCUUUGUUCGACAUUUUGGAACUUUAAAAUAAAUUAAGUAUGGAAAAAAGAUACAUUAACAUAAAAAUUAGUUUCUUUGAUUCUGUUGUCAAGCCUGAUUCCCUUCUUUGAAUAAUGUAGUCUUACAAUAUAGGACCUCAAUCAGGAUUGUUUUGGAAUUUUGCUAUAGUUCAGCUGACAAACAAGAGUUAUUUCAGUGGAGAAGAUCAGAAAUCUUUCUGGAAAAGGAGUACAAGGAGAAAAAGUAAACAUGUUGCACAAUGGACAAAGGAAAAAUAAGAAAAAGACAAUAAAGACAAAGUACUGAUUUUUCUGUGGUAAUCAUGAUUUAUAUUAAAUUACAUAGCAAAAUUUGAGUUGCUCUGAUCAUUUUGCUCACUGAUAAAAUGUAUACUACCUGAGAUCAUUAAAGACAACUAUAUCCUAGUAAAAAUAUACCAGCAAACUCUCCUACUGUUAACCACCAAGGAACCUCAUUUUUUCUUGUUUAAUUUAUAAUCAAUUUUCCAAAUAAUAAACGCUUCCAGUAAAAGUAACUUUUAUAAGUAUAAUAUUAUUAUAGUGGUAGAAUUUUUGCUAACGGAAAAGUAAGAAAAGUAAUACUAUUGAAAUAAUAAUAGUCUCUAGUAGAGAUCUAGAGAUCUUUAAAAAUACUUUUAAAAUGCUUACUAUAUCAAAACGCAUAUACCAGUAGAUUACAAAUUAAUUUUCAGCACAGUAAGAUUUUAGGAAAUAGUUAUUACCUUUAAGAAUAUCAAAUCACAAUGGGAUGUUUAACUGAUUCUUCCCUAGAGUUUAGCAAAUAUGUUAGGAUUUGUUCUUCAAGAAAUUAUUUCACUUCACCAACAGAAAUCGAUGAUUCCACUUACAUUUCUACCCGCUUGAAAUUUAUUCCUAAAAAAUACCCCUGAACUGGAAAAUCUCUUAGUGGGGGAGGGUAAACAGCUAAAACUUACUGCCAGGAUAAAUUGGCCAGAAUGAUUUGGCACAUAUCCUGAGUUUGCCAUGAAAACACGUAUCUGUGUGUCAGCUGCACACAAAGGCUAUCUGGCCCUAGAAAAAGCAUGGGGAUUAGGCAUAAUGCUGCCUAUUUCAGACAAAGGGUAUUCCUUAGUGCAGUGAGGUUAAAACAGACAGCUCAUCAGCAGUACAAGUCUAUCUGAAUUAUUUAGUUACCAUUUUAAGCCAGAAGGAAAUAGUGGCAGAUUAUUAAUGACUUGUGGGUUUUAUUCGUCUUGUUAUUUUGUUUCAGUGAAAAGUAGCACUGGAAAUGCAAAAAGGUACCAAAAUAUGAGAUCAUUUUUACUUUAAUCAUUUACAACAUAUAGACUUUUAACACUAGUUCCAAAAUAUUACUUAUUUUUAUUUACAUUUCAGUAAGACUUAUGAAGUUGCUAUUUAUGUUUGUGAGUGUUUGCAUGACCAAAAUGAAAGAGACAGCUCACAUGCUCAGAAAAUAGAAAUCCAUGGAUCUACUGGAUGAAAACUAUUCUAUUGAUUUGGAGGGAGUUUAAGUCAUUCAAAAUGACAAAAAUACUUCAGGAAAAAAAUAGUGGAGAGAGUAAGGAAACUAUAUAAAAGAUAUUAACAUAGUCUGAAACGCAUUCUUGCAAUAAAAGAGAUUCUUGUCAUAAUCCAGUGACAGGCAAUUUAAAAUAACUUUGCAUAGAAAUAUUUAGGGAUAUAUAAUAGGAAUAUGUAUAAAGAAUAUUUAGGAACAUAUAAUUUAUCAUUUUUAAUAAAUUAUAUAUAAACAAAUUAACAGCUGGUAUAUAAUUUAAAAUUUAGCAGUUACAAAAUUGAAAACUAAGGAUGCACUUUCCAAUAAUUAAAAAUAACAAGUUAAAGUGAAAAUCUUUACAUAGUCAUGCUUUAUGUAGACAAAAAAACAGAUCUAAACAUGAUGAUAUAGAAAGUUAUACAUUACGUACGUAAAAGAAGCCUGAUUAUUUUUCCUGGAAAUUUUUGUGGAUUUUUUUUGUUAUAUUUUAGCCAAGUAAGAAGACUCCUGUUUCAAAACUUUUAAAUGUUUGUACUUUUCAUUCUUAUUUUCAUUUACAGCUUUAAGCUAUUUCCUCCACAGAAGAAAAAAAUCGUAUGUUGAAACAGUAAAAAUAAAAUUACUGCAGAACUGAGUCAUUGCAAGUGAGAUGAAUAUCCACAAAAAAAAAUUACCAAAUUACAAAAAAACCACCCAGAAACAAGAUCAUUGUGCAUUAGAAACAAUGCUUUCAGAUUCAUCAUGGCUCACAACAAAGGUAUUUAUAAGUGGACCUCCUGCCUCUGUCACAUGCUGUCAUUGCUUUGGAUUGACUGCUGUUAGAUCCCAUAAUCCCAAACCCUAGGAUCUUGUCCUACAUAUCUCCCCCACUUGUUAGGCAUGUCAGUAACUAUUUAAAAUGGAAAUGAACUCUAAUUUCUGUAUGUGUUAAUAGCAAAGGGUUUUACUCUCCUAAACCCCAUAUUUACCAAGAUAUUUUGGGUUUUUGUAAUAAAGGUUAUAAAAAGCUGUAUUCAGUCAUAUAGCUUGUAUUUACUAGUUUAACCACUUAUGUUUGGUUAAUGCUUGGCAUUUCUUAACUCAACAGAGCGUCAUGACAAUAUUAUGGAACAUGUUCAUGGAUGAUGAGAAGAAUUGACUUGUGAGGUUAUGUUGUUAUGUAAAUGUUAUGCAGAGAUUAAAACUCAAACGUUGUCCAAUUAAGAAAAUGUUCAUUGAAACUAUCAUAUCCCAUUCCACAUGAAAACUCUUUGAUGCCAACAGAUUAAAAUUAAUGUACUUCAUUUGAAGGGGGUAAGAAAAAAUCACCAGUAUAGUUGACUUCUAGUCCUCACUUGCAGUUCCUUGUACCCGGUACAAAUCUUGCAUCAUGUAGGAUCUUUGUGAAAACCACUGCUAUUUUCAUAUUAUGAUUGUUAUUAAUAAAUAUUUGCAUUGUCCAACUGCUCCUUGGAACUUGGUUCCGUGAUCACUUCCCUAGGAAGCCUGUUCCACUGAAUGAUCACCCUCUCAGUGAAGAACCUUUUCUUAAUGUCUAGUCUGAGGUUCCCCUGAUGGAGCUUCAUUCCAUUUCCUCAUGUCACCAGAGAGAGCAGAUCAGCACCUUCCCCUCUACUGGUCCUCUUGAGGAAGUUGAAGACUGCAAAGAGGUCUUCAAGCUCCAAUAAACCAAGUGACCUUGGCUGUUUCUCCUUGCAUUUCACCAUCUUGGUCAACCUUUUCUGAACACACUCUAAUAGUUUGAUGUCCUUCUUUCAUUGUGGAUAAUAAUAUAAAAGCGAAAUCACUAGAGCAAUUUGUACAGUGCCAUGAUAUGAUAAGGAGGUUUUUUUCUUAAAAUCUUAGUGGAGCAGCUAACUCCACUUGGAUAGACCCUAAUCCCUAGCAUAAUUUCACUGACAUCAGUAGAGUGUCAUUAGGGAAAUGGAUCUUCCACUUACGGAAAUGUGUUUUAAAUUUAUAAAAAAAUUUAAAUUUAGUCUAGUAAAAGUAGUUUCAACACAUUCCAGUCUACUUUAUUGAUUUCAAGCUUACUCCUAGAACUAAAGGUGAUGUGAUGAAUAUGUGAGCCAAGUGAAUCAGUAAAAAAUCCCAGUUUUAAUAUCUGUCAUCCAGCGUGGCAGAUUAUUUCCCAAGUUCAGACAACUAAUUGGUAAACUAAGAAUGCAUUACACAUAAGAAAGUGUGCACAACAGAUGAUAUUCUUUUAUUAGAACAUUAUAGUUUUAAUCUAACAUCAUACACAAUCAGUAAAGCUAAAUUCUUAAUGCAAAACAUGCAAGAGUUAAAAUGCUUAAAGUGAAAAUAUCUUGGCUUAGUUGCAUAUAUUUUUCAUUUUAAAGUAAAUGCAUUAACAGAAAUAGGACUGUAAAAAACUGUACUUUAAAGUUUAGCUAAGUGUAAAUAGCAAUAGAAUUGUAUUUUCAGCAUACUGUUUAAUGUAAACUCUCCCUACCCCUCCCCUCAAAUUAUUUUAUUGUGCUCUUUUAAGCAUUUAACAUUUUACGAAGGUGAAACAUUUGGUACGACUUUUAACAAUUUAAGAAAAACCACAAAAGAUGAUCAUUCUAGAAAAUGGAUGUUAAGCUUUUUUCCAGUUUUUAGUGUCUAGCUGUACUACUGAUAAUUUAGGCAGUAACCACAUGAAGUUCAGCCAAAUUCAAAGACAUUAUUCUGUAUCAAUGCCUAAAAGAUAUUGUUCAGUUAUGCAAAUGCCCAUUCACCUGAGUAGUCUUUAUUCAUAUAGAUUAUUGUGUUCAACACAAUUUUUACAAGCAUUCAAAACAGUGUGCUGCAAAAAGAGUAUCUUCUCUCUUGUUUUUGCAAAAUUUUCUACACAGAAAAAUAUUCCAAAGAAAGUAUCCAAAAUUGAUUAUUAUGUACAGCAAUAACUGUCUGUAAAAUAUUUUGGUGUCUGUGUUCUUAUUUCUACAGAAACGUACAUUAUUGUUAAUCAGUAUAAUCUGAAAUUCCAUGUUUCUUGAAAUACUGGUUUGUUGACCAGACCUCUUAGAUCAAUAUAAUUUUGCAAACGUAUAGAAAACACUGAUACCUCAAACUUUUGUAUAUGUCAGCUCAGGCUGAAAAUAUUGUGUUAACUAUCUUUUGGACUGUGUGGAUAAAUUAUUCAUCAUUACAUUGUCUUACUGUAGAGUCACUGGAUUGCACUACCUCCAAAGAUUAUGCGUUACGUAAAAAUGGUUGAAAGCCAUUUCUCUCAUCAUUACAAUGUCACAUUAGUGAAAGAAGACAGUCAGCAUUUCAUGAACAUUUUAUUUCUUUACAGCCUCUAAGAUUUCCCAGGAGAAUCAGUCAUAUAAUCAAACAAAAAUGCUUGCUGUGAUCAAUUCUGCAACACUGCAUUACAUUCUCUGGGAAGUCGUUUAUGAAAGAAUUAACUGUGUUCAUGUUAUUCAGUGUCAUCUACAUACCUCAGUAAAACAUAUGAUGACAGCAGGCAUUGGUCAUGGAAGUUUGAACUUUUUUUUAAUGUGAUUGUUUUCAAUAUUCAGUUUGAUGAAAUGAACAUUUUGUGUAUAUCUAGUCAUCUGAGAAUGAAGUUGAAAAUUGUAAUUAUGAAAAUAGAUAAAUAUUUCACCUGUAUUUGGUGAAUUUCAAAGUUUUGUUAAUAUCUGAGAUUUGAAUUUAUUUAAAUGUUCAAAAACUUUAAAAGAAAAAUAGAUUAUGUAUUAAAAUACAAGUAUGUGCAUAUAUAUGUGUUCAUACCUGUGUACACACAAAUAAAGCACAUGCAUAUGAAUGAUGUA
Molecule: long non-coding RNA, 10107 nt
Organism: Pipra filicauda (Wire-tailed manakin)
Lineage: Eukaryota; Metazoa; Chordata; Aves; Passeriformes; Pipridae
Exons: 2
Source: RefSeq, a predicted model, not a curated record